RNAcentral lists this ribosomal RNA (751 nucleotides) under uncultured Enterococcus sp. Its description in RNAcentral is "bacterial SSU rRNA". It matches the Rfam family "Bacterial small subunit ribosomal RNA", at positions 760 to 1515 of the family's 1533-position model. The record is from RNAcentral. Lineage: Bacteria; Bacillati; Bacillota; Bacilli; Lactobacillales; Enterococcaceae.
CGUGGGGAGCAAACAGGAUUAGAUACCUGGUAGUCCACGCGUAAACGAUGAGUGCUAAGUGUUGGAGGGUUUCCCCUUUCAGUGCUGCAGCUAACGCAUUAAGCACUCCGCUGGGGAGUACGACCGCAAGGUUGAAACUCAAAGGAAUUGACGGGGGCCCGCACAAGCGGUGGAGCAUGUGGUUUAAUUCGAAGCAACGCGAAGAACCUUACCAGGUCUUGACAUCCUUUGACCACUCUAGAGAUAGAGCUUUCCCUUCGGGGACAAAGCGACAGGUGGUGCAUGGUUGUCGUCAGCUCGUGUCGUGAGAUGUUGGGUUAAGUCCCGCAACGAGCGCAACCCUUAUUGUUAGUUGCCAUCAUUCAGUUGGGCACUCUAGCGAGACUGCCGGUGACAAACCGGAGGAAGGUGGGGAUGACGUCAAAUCAUCAUGCCCCUUAUGACCUGGGCUACACACGUGCUACAAUGGGAAGUACAACGAGUCGCUAGGCCGCGAGGUCAUGCAAAUCUCUUAAAGCUUCUCUCAGUUCGGAUUGCAGGCUGCAGCUCGCCUGCAUGAAGCCGGAAUCGCUAGUAAUCGCGGAUCAGCACGCCGCGGUGAAUACGUUCCCGGGCCUUGUACACACCGCCCGUCACACCACGAAAGUUUGUAACACCCGAAGUCGGUGAGGUAACCUUUUGGAGCCAGCCGCCUAAGGUGGGAUAGAUGAUUGGGGUGAAGUCGUAACAAGGUAACCAAGGGCGAAUUCUG